This 252-nucleotide ribosomal RNA is filed under the name uncultured bacterium. RNAcentral describes it as "partial 16S ribosomal RNA". It matches the Rfam family "Bacterial small subunit ribosomal RNA", at positions 524 to 776 of the family's 1533-position model. The record is from RNAcentral.
UACGUGAGAGGCAAGCGUUAUCCGGAUUUAUUGGGCAUAAAGAGCAUGUAGGCGGUAUCUUAAGUCAGAUGUUAAAACCAACAGCUCAACUGUUGUUCGCAUCUGAUACUGGGUUACUUGAGAUCAGUAGAGGAAAGUGGAACUCACAGUGUAGCGGUGAAAUGCGUAGAUAUUGUGAGGAACACCAGUGGCGAAGGCGACUUUCUGGACUGAAUCUGACGCUGAGAUGCGAAAGCGUGGGGAGCAAACAGG